UAGUAACGGCGAGUGAACAGGGAACAAGCUCAAAGUUGGAAUCUAUCUGGCUUAGCCAGAUCGAAUUGUAAACUUUAGAGUCGUUGUCCAGACCAGCCGAGUAAAUAAGUUCCUUGGAAUAGGACAUCAUGGAGGGUGAGAAUCCCGUCUUUGGCUUGAGCAUUGGUCUUUUGUGAUGCGACUUCAACGAGUCAGGUUGUUUGGGAAUGCAGCCUUAAUUGGGUGGUAAAUCUCACCUAAAGCUAAAUAUUGGCGAGAGACCGAUAGCGAACAAGUACCGUGAGGGAAAGAUGAAAAGAACUUUGAAAAGAGAGUUAAACAGUAUGUGAAAUUGCUAAAAGGGAACCGUUUGAAGUCAGUCUGGCUGGUCUGCAAUCAGCUUCAAUCUUGGUUGGAGUGCACUUGUAGGCCAUUUUUUUGCCUGCCAACAACAGUUUGUUCUGCAGCAAAAAGGUGUUGAGAAUGUGGCUUUCUCUUCGGAGGAAGUGUUAUAGCUCUUCGCGAAAUACUGUGGUUCAGACUGAGGCUUGCAGUGAAUGCUAUUUGGGCUUUGGGGAUGGAUUGCUCAGUGCUUUGCUUGGUUAGUUUCGGCCGUCAAACGUCGUGCUGGCCAAGUGAAGUCUGACUCGGUUCAUUCACUUUUAAUUCACUUUGGUUGUUGGCUUAAGAC
RNAcentral lists this ribosomal RNA (670 nucleotides) under Apophysomyces trapeziformis. RNAcentral describes it as "eukaryotic LSU rRNA". It matches the Rfam family "Eukaryotic large subunit ribosomal RNA", at positions 81 to 645 of the family's 3401-position model. Lineage: Eukaryota; Fungi; Mucoromycota; Mucoromycetes; Mucorales; Mucoraceae. The record is from RNAcentral.